GACGAACGCUGGCGGCGUGCCUAAUACAUGCAAGUCGAACGCUUCUUUCCUCCCGAGUGCUUGCACUCAAUUGGAAAGAGGAGUGGCGGACGGGUGAGUAACACGUGGGUAACCUACCCAUCAGAGGGGGAUAACACUUGGAAACAGGUGCUAAUACCGCAUAACAGUUUAUGCCGCAUGGCAUAAGAGUGAAAGGUGCUUUCGGGUGUCGCUGAUGGAUGGACCCGCGGUGCAUUAGCUAGUUGGUGAGGUAACGGCUCACCAAGGCCACGAUGCAUAGCCGACCUGAGAGGGUGAUCGGCCACACUGGGACUGAGACACGGCCCAGACUCCUACGGGAGGCAGCAGUAGGGAAUCUUCGGCAAUGGACGAAAGUCUGACCGAGCAACGCCGCGUGAGUGAAGAAGGUUUUCGGAUCGUAAAACUCUGUUGUUAGAGAAGAACAAGGACGUUAGUAACUGAACGUCCCCUGACGGUAUCUAACCAGAAAGCCACGGCUAACUACGUGCCAGCAGCCGCGGUAAUACGUAGGUGGCAAGCGUUGUCCGGAUUUAUUGGGCGUAAAGCGAGCGCAGGCGGUUUCUUAAGUCUGAUGUGAAAGCCCCCGGCUCAACCGGGGAGGGUCAUCGGAAACUGGGAGACUUGAGUGCAGAAGAGGAGAGUGGAAUUCCAUGUGUAGCGGUGAAAUGCGUAGAUAUAUGGAGGAACACCAGUGGCGAAGGCGGCUCUCUGGUCUGUAACUGACGCUGAGGCUCGAAAGCGUGGGGAGCAAAC
This 774-nucleotide ribosomal RNA is filed under the name uncultured Bacilli bacterium. RNAcentral describes it as "bacterial SSU rRNA". It matches the Rfam family "Bacterial small subunit ribosomal RNA", at positions 28 to 773 of the family's 1533-position model. Lineage: Bacteria; Bacillati; Bacillota; Bacilli. The record is from RNAcentral.